This 572-nucleotide long non-coding RNA is filed under the name Hordeum vulgare. RNAcentral's name for it is "long non-coding RNA (HVUL_LNC000426)". The record is from RNAcentral. Lineage: Eukaryota; Viridiplantae; Streptophyta; Magnoliopsida; Poales; Poaceae.
CCUUCGGCUGAUAAUGGCUCAGGUUUUCAUUCAUUUAUAAGGCUGAAAAUAAAUUAAUAGUUAGUCUUACUGCUACAGGUAUCAAUGUUAAAGAUGUGUCUCACUUUCCUCAGGUUGAGAAGGAUUCAAUAGAUGUAUCCGCGAAGGCGGCAGUCCAAUCUGAUGAAGAGGAAGAAGACGAAAUUGAUGAAAUUAUGUAUGGUGAAGACGUGGAUUUGUCUGAGAAAAAUAGUGACGAUGAUGCUGAGUAGAAUUGCAGCAUUGUUGCCAUGUCUCCGAGAGACUUCGCGACUUUGUGUACGGUGAAGAUGUAUUUUUCAAGCUUAAAGCCAGUAGUUGAGUUUUUAAAACCGUGCAACCAUGGAAGGUUGCACAUAAUUUUGACAACAUGAGGUAAUAUCUGAAAGGAAUUUUUGUAAGCAACUUAUAUCCUAUGUAUGCAUCCUAGAGACUGUAUCCAUGCAUCUGAAUUGCAGGUGGAACAUCGAAACAAUCAUGAAUUUGCAGUUAAACACCCCCACUGGAUUCUUCAGUCACCGCGUCUUCUGCAGUAAAUCCCCUUGGAUUGAAAG